UACUUGAUGGCACAUGGUGUCCACCUGCCUUACUUCUCUACGGUUAUGCAGGAGGCCCUGGUUCAAGUCCGGGUCAGGUGA
Mycena metata is the source of this 81-nucleotide non-coding RNA. NCBI's taxonomy places the organism in Eukaryota, Fungi, Basidiomycota, Agaricomycetes, Agaricales, Mycenaceae. The record is from the annotation of a GenBank genome assembly.